CAAUAGCGUAUAUUAAAGUUGUUGCAGUUAAAAAGCUCGUAGUUGGAUUUGUGGCGUACGGUGUGUUCCGGGCACUUGUUGUCUGAGUAACCUGCUGUUGCCAUCCUUGGGUGGAACCUGUGUGGCAUUAGGUUGUCGUGCAGGGGAUGCCCAUCAUUUACUGUGAAAAAAUUAGAGUGUUCAAAGCAGGCUUAUGCCGUUGAAUAUAUUAGCAUGGAAUAAUGAGAUAGGACUUUUUUGCUAUUUUGUUGGUUUGCGCGAAGAGGUAAUGAUUAAUAGGGACAGUUGGGGGUAUUCGUAUUCCAUUGUCAGAGGUGAGAUUCUUGGAUUUUUGGAAGACGAACUACUGCGAAAGCAUUUACCAAGGAUGUUUUCAUUAA
This 380-nucleotide ribosomal RNA is filed under the name uncultured eukaryote. RNAcentral describes it as "partial 18S ribosomal RNA". It matches the Rfam family "Eukaryotic small subunit ribosomal RNA", at positions 592 to 976 of the family's 1831-position model. The record is from RNAcentral.